CGGUCUCUCCUCGUCCAUUUAACAACAAAAACACAGCAACACGUGCUGGAUUUGAGUGGCUUGCAAAAGUAUUCGUCCCUCUUUUCCACAUUUUGUCACAUUACUGCCACAAACACAAAUUGUCAUGGUCCUGGGUCGGUGACCCAGCGCUUUUAGUUUAUUAUUAUGAUGAUGAUGAUGAUUAUUAUUGUUUGAGUUCUAUGUGUUAUAUUUGGUCUGCGUCUGAGUCUGCGUCUGUGUCUCUGUCUAUGCUGUCACCCCGUCUGUUUGUGAAUCUGUCUGUUUAGUUCUGUGUCUUGUUUGGUUCCCCGUGUCUGAGUUUCCUGUUUUAUUGUGAAGGUCUCUGUCUGAUGUGAGUGUGUUCAGUUUACGUUUCCCCUGUCCCGUCAGCUCUGAUUCCUCCCAGCCGUGUUGCCCUCCUGUCUCUCAUCCCCUGAUUACUGGUGUGUGUAUUUAAGCCCUGUGUGUUCUCCUGCCUGUUACUCGGUGUCCUGCUCGGUGGCUGCUGUGCAUCCCUUUGUCGUAUGCAUCCAGGUCUGUUAUUUUAGUUUUUCCCAGUUUAUGUGUCUUCAGUUAUUUGUCAUGCCCCACUGCUUGUUUGCCACUACACCUUGUAAAUAAACUUCACUAGCAUUUUCAUCCACUGCUUGCAUCUUGGGUCCUCCUUCCUCCACACCACACGGCUCGCCUUCCCAGCCGUGACACAAAUCAAUUUUAAUGGAAUCCAAUUGCAGCAAAAGGUGGUUCUACAAAGUAUUGACUCAGGGGGCUGAAUAAUUGCGC
Long non-coding RNA from Astatotilapia calliptera (eastern happy), 783 nucleotides. The record is from Ensembl. Lineage: Eukaryota; Metazoa; Chordata; Actinopteri; Cichliformes; Cichlidae.